AGGAAUAUUGCACAAUGGGGGCAACCCUGAUGCAGCAACGCCGCGUGGGGAUGAAGGCCCUUAGGGUCGUAAACCCCUUUUCUCGAGGAAGAGGAAGGACGGUACUCGAGGAAUCAGUCACGGCUAACUACGUGCCAGUAGCCGCGGUAAUACGUAGGUGGCAAGCGUUUAUCCGGAAUUACUGGGCGUAAAGCGCACGUAGGCGGUCAUUUAAGUCUGACGUGAAAGCUCCUGGCUUAACUGGGAGAGGACGUUGGAGACUGGAUGGCUUGAGGCGAUGAGAGGGGCGUAGAAUUCCCGGUGUAGUGGUGGAAUGCGUAGAUAUCGGGAGGAAUACCAGUGGCGAAAGCGGCGUCCUAGCAUCGGCCUGACGUUCAUGUGCGAAAGCGUGGGGAGCGAACGGGAUUAGAUACCCCGGUAGUCCACGCGGUAAACGAUGAACACUAGGUGUGGGGAGUGUUAAAACUGUCCGUGCCGAAGCCAACGCGUUAAGUGUUCCGCCUGGGGAGUACGGCCGCAAGGCUA
RNAcentral lists this ribosomal RNA (525 nucleotides) under uncultured Chloroflexota bacterium. RNAcentral's name for it is "bacterial SSU rRNA". It matches the Rfam family "Bacterial small subunit ribosomal RNA", at positions 357 to 896 of the family's 1533-position model. Lineage: Bacteria; Bacillati; Chloroflexota. The record is from RNAcentral.